UCCCUGACGGUCCAGUAAUUAAGACUCUGCACUCUCAAUGCAGGGGGCACAGGUUCAAUCCCUGGUUGGGGAU
This 73-nucleotide transfer RNA is filed under the name Ovis aries (sheep). It matches the Rfam family "tRNA". Rfam says of the family: Transfer RNA (tRNA) molecules are approximately 80 nucleotides in length. Their secondary structure includes four short double-helical elements and three loops (D, anti-codon, and T loops). Further hydrogen bonds mediate the characteristic L-shaped molecular structure. tRNAs have two regions of fundamental functional importance: the anti-codon, which is responsible for specific mRNA codon recognition, and the 3' end, to which the tRNAs corresponding amino acid is attached (by aminoacyl-tRNA synthetases). tRNAs cope with the degeneracy of the genetic code in two manners: having more than one tRNA (with a specific anti-codon) for a particular amino acid; and 'wobble' base-pairing, i.e. permitting non-standard base-pairing at the 3rd anti-codon position. Lineage: Eukaryota; Metazoa; Chordata; Mammalia; Artiodactyla; Bovidae. The record is from Rfam by way of RNAcentral.